UGGGCUAAACGGUUGGUCAUGUCCCAAGAGGCACGAGUGGCCAAAGGUCACGAGUUACCAAGGGUUGUGUGUGAUGUCCCGUGGGCUGUUUGUUCAGUACACACAGGACGUCUGUGGGUGUCCGUCAGCAAACACAGGACGUCCGUGUGUGUCCGUCAGCACACACAGGGCAUCUGUGGCUGCCCAAACUGAUCUGCGGCCUUAUCCUUUCAAUCUAAGUCCGAGUUAACCAAGUUUUAAUUCUUAUCUUUGUAAAUUCAAUUCAAUUCAACUGAGGUUCAAUACAAUAAAUCUAAACAAGGAAACAUAAGGGGCAAAUCAAUUGUAUAAAUAUAAACUGAGAUUCAUACAUCAUUCUUAGGUUCGUCCUAAUAAGUUAUACACACUUAGUCUAACAUAAGUUCACAAGUUGCACAAUAGGCUAUCAGUAUUUCACAUCUAUCUACAAUGACCCAUUCACCACACAUCUUCUCAUGGCCUGAGUCUUCACGGUGCCUUUCCCUUACCACGGUCCAUGUCCGAUCCUGAAACUACACAAGACACAAUGCACAUUCAUAAGGCCGAUAUCCUAACAUCAAGUCUAGAUAAGCAUGGUUCGGCUACUUAGAAUCUAUAACCUGUCCAAACCAACAUACUCAAAUAAAUUCCCAAAAACUAAUUAAAAUUCAUGAUAAUCUCUGAUAACUCCAAACUAAGAGAUUCCCGUAAACAGUUUCCAGAAAGAGAGAGUUUCCGGCCAAAGCAAACCGGCCACAAGCCCGAUCGGAUCAUCAGCCGUCUCGGGCCGAUCACUUGCCGUCCACACCACUGACCUUAGGCGUUCUCUCCCCAGGCGCCAUCUCCAUCUCUUUUUCCUUCUCUCUGUCUCUCUGUCUGGUAUCCAUCUCCUCAGGCCUUGCUUCCCACGAUCCGGUUUCUCCUGGAACAGCCAAGCCUCUCGCUGGUUCUCUCCUUGGAUCGCCGGUACUAAUACCUAAAGCAGUAAACCAAAUACCUACUACCGGCCAAGCCGCUAAGAAGAAAUGUAAAGAACGAGAAUUGUUGAAACUAGCAUAUUGGAAGAUCAAUCGGCCAAAAUAACCGUGAGCAGCUACAAUGUUGUAAGUUUCUUCUUCUUGACCGAAUCUGUAACCUUCAUUAGCAGAUUCAUUUUCUGUAGUUUCCCUGAUCAAACUAGAAGUUACCAAAGAACCAUGAUACGC
Long non-coding RNA from Brassica napus (rape), 1202 nucleotides. RefSeq lists it as uncharacterized. Lineage: Eukaryota; Viridiplantae; Streptophyta; Magnoliopsida; Brassicales; Brassicaceae. The transcript has 3 exons. The record is from RefSeq and is a predicted model, not a curated record.